UACGUAGGGUGCAAGCGUUGUCCGGAAUUAUUGGGCGUAAAGAGCUCGUAGGCGGUCUGUCGCGUCGGAUGUGAAAAUCCAGGGCUCAACCCCGAGCCUGCAGUCGAUACGGGCAGACUAGAGUGCUGUAGGGGAGACUGGAAUUCCUGGUGUAGCGGUGAAAUGCGCAGAUAUCAGGAGGAACACCGGUGGCGAAGGCGGGUCUCUGGGCCGAUACUGACGCUGAGGAGCGAAAGCAUGGGGGAGCGAACAGG
This 254-nucleotide ribosomal RNA is filed under the name uncultured bacterium. RNAcentral describes it as "partial 16S ribosomal RNA". It matches the Rfam family "Bacterial small subunit ribosomal RNA", at positions 524 to 776 of the family's 1533-position model. The record is from RNAcentral.